Molecule: ribosomal RNA, 700 nt
Filed under: Chryseobacterium sp. 188C7
Lineage: Bacteria; Pseudomonadati; Bacteroidota; Flavobacteriia; Flavobacteriales; Weeksellaceae
Description: bacterial SSU rRNA
Rfam family: Bacterial small subunit ribosomal RNA
Source: RNAcentral
AUGGCAUCAUCUGGUAUUGAAAACUCCGGUGGAUAGAGAUGGGCACGCGCAAGAUUAGAUAGUUGGUGAGGUAACGGCUCACCAAGUCAGCGAUCUUUAGGGGGCCUGAGAGGGUGAUCCCCCACACUGGUACUGAGACACGGACCAGACUCCUACGGGAGGCAGCAGUGAGGAAUAUUGGACAAUGGGUGAGAGCCUGAUCCAGCCAUCCCGCGUGAAGGACGACGGCCCUAUGGGUUGUAAACUUCUUUUGUAUAGGGAUAAACCUAGAUACGUGUAUCUAGCUGAAGGUACUAUACGAAUAAGCACCGGCUAACUCCGUGCCAGCAGCCGCGGUAAUACGGAGGGUGCAAGCGUUAUCCGGAUUUAUUGGGUUUAAAGGGUCCGUAGGCUGAUGUGUAAGUCAGUGGUGAAAUCUCACAGCUUAACUGUGAAACUGCCAUUGAUACUGCAUGUCUUGAGUGUUGUUGAAGUAGCUGGAAUAAGUAGUGUAGCGGUGAAAUGCAUAGAUAUUACUUAGAACACCAAUUGCGAAGGCAGGUUACUAAGCAACAACUGACGCUGAUGGACGAAAGCGUGGGGAGCGAACAGGAUUAGAUACCCUGGUAGUCCACGCCGUAAACGAUGCUAACUCGUUUUUGGGUUUUCGGAUUCAGAGACUAAGCGAAAGUGAUAAGUUAGCCACCUGGGGAGUACGAAC